RNAcentral lists this ribosomal RNA (550 nucleotides) under Penicillium aurantiovirens. RNAcentral's name for it is "eukaryotic LSU rRNA". The stretch from base 182 to 334 matches the Rfam family "5.8S ribosomal RNA". The record is from RNAcentral. Lineage: Eukaryota; Fungi; Ascomycota; Eurotiomycetes; Eurotiales; Aspergillaceae.
CAUUACCGAGUGAGGGCCCUUUGGGUCCAACCUCCCACCCGUGUUUAUUUUACCUUGUUGCUUCGGCGGGCCCGCCUUUACUGGCCGCCGGGGGGCUCACGCCCCCGGGCCCGCGCCCGCCGAAGACACCUCCGAACUCUGUCUGAAGAUUGAAGUCUGAGUGAAAAUAUAAAUUAUUUAAAACUUUCAACAACGGAUCUCUUGGUUCCGGCAUCGAUGAAGAACGCAGCGAAAUGCGAUACGUAAUGUGAAUUGCAAAUUCAGUGAAUCAUCGAGUCUUUGAACGCACAUUGCGCCCCCUGGUAUUCCGGGGGGCAUGCCUGUCCGAGCGUCAUUGCUGCCCUCAAGCACGGCUUGUGUGUUGGGCCCCGUCCUCCGAUUCCGGGGGACGGGCCCGAAAGGCAGCGGCGGCACCGCGUCCGGUCCUCGAGCGUAUGGGGCUUUGUCACCCGCUCUGUAGGCCCGGCCGGCGCUUGCCGAUCAACCCAAAUUUUUAUCCAGGUUGACCUCGGAUCAGGUAGGGAUACCCGCUGAACUUAAGCAUAUCAAA